UACGAGGGGUGCAAGCGUUGUUCGGAAUUAUUGGGCGUAAAGGGCCGGUAGGUGGUCUUAUCAGUCUACUGUGAAAUCCCCGAGCUCAACUCGGGACGUGCGGUGGAUACUGUAAGACUAGAGUGCUGGAGGGGUUCGUGGAAUUCCCGGUGUAGCGGUGAAAUUCGUAGAUAUCGGGAGGAACACCGGUGGCGAAGGCGGCCCCCUGGUUGGAUACUGACGCUGAGACGCGAAAGCGUGGGGAGCAAACAGG
Molecule: ribosomal RNA, 253 nt
Filed under: uncultured bacterium
Lineage: Bacteria
Description: partial 16S ribosomal RNA
Rfam family: Bacterial small subunit ribosomal RNA
Source: RNAcentral